GAUGAACGCUGGCGGCGUGCCUAAUACAUGCAAGUCGAGCGAACGGACGAGAAGCUUGCUUCUCUGAUGUUAGCGGCGGACGGGUGAGUAACACGUGGAUAACCUACCUAUAAGACUGGGAUAACUUCGGGAAACCGGAGCUAAUACCGGAUAAUAUUUUGAACCGCAAGGUUCAAAAGUGAAAGACGGUCUUGCUGUCACUUAUAGAUGGAUCCGCGCUGCAUUAGCUAGUUGGUAAGGUAACGGCUUACCAAGGCAACGAUGCAUAGCCGACCUGAGAGGGUGAUCGCCCACCCUGGAACUGAGACACGGUCCAGACUCCUACGGGAGGCAGCAGUAGGGAACCUUCCGCAAUGGGCGAAAGCCUGACGGAGCAACGCCGCGUGAGUGAGGAAGGUUUUCGGAUCUUAAAACUCUGUUAUUAGGGAAGAACAUAUGUGUAAGUAACUGUGCACAUCUUGACGGUACCUAAUCAGAAAGCCACGGCUAACUACGUG
This 497-nucleotide ribosomal RNA is filed under the name uncultured bacterium. Its description in RNAcentral is "partial 16S ribosomal RNA". It matches the Rfam family "Bacterial small subunit ribosomal RNA", at positions 28 to 507 of the family's 1533-position model. The record is from RNAcentral.